GACGAACGCUGGCGGCGUGCUUAACACAUGCAAGUCGAACGGAAAGGCCCUGCUUUUGUUGGUUGCUCGAGUGGCGAACGGGUGAGUAACACGUGAGUAAACUGCCCUUGACUUUGGGAUAACUUCAGGAAACUCCGGCGCAUACCCCGUAUGAGCUCUUGCUCCAUGUUGUUGGUUGGAAAGUUUCGGUGGUGUGGGAUGGUCUCGCUGCUUACCAGCUUCAUGGUGGGGUAGUGGCUGACCAGGGCUUAGACGGCUAGCCGGCCUGAGAGGGUGAACGGCCACAUUGGGACUGAGAUACGGCCCAGACUCCUACGGGAGGCAGCAGUGGGGAAUAUUGCAGAAUGGGCGGAAGCCUGAUGCAGCAGCGCCGCGUGCGGGAUGACGGCCUUCGGGUUGUAAACCGCUUUCGCCUGUGACGAAGCGUGAGUGACGGUAAUGGGUAAAGAAGCACCGGCUAACUACGUG
RNAcentral lists this ribosomal RNA (468 nucleotides) under uncultured bacterium. Its description in RNAcentral is "partial 16S ribosomal RNA". It matches the Rfam family "Bacterial small subunit ribosomal RNA", at positions 28 to 507 of the family's 1533-position model. The record is from RNAcentral.